This is a long non-coding RNA of Gracilinanus agilis (Agile Gracile Mouse Opossum), 1349 nucleotides long. RefSeq lists it as uncharacterized. The transcript is spliced from 4 exons. The record is from RefSeq and is a predicted model, not a curated record. NCBI's taxonomy places the organism in Eukaryota, Metazoa, Chordata, Mammalia, Didelphimorphia, Didelphidae.
GGCAACCCACUCCAGUGUCUUUGCCAAAAAAAAAACCCAAACCUCCAAAAGGGCCACAAGGAGUGAGACAGGAUGAAAAACGAGUGAACGACAAAGAACUGAGCCAAAUGAUUUAGUAGCAAGUGCCCUUAGAUUUCAUAUCCUGCCUCUUCUAUUCUCUACCUUGGGCAAAUUAAUCUCCCUGGACUUCAGUUCCCUCAUUUAUGAAAUGGAGUUGGAUUAGAUUAUUUCUCAGGUGUGUUCUAGGUCAAAAUCCAGAAUCUUACAGGCUACCUAGAACUGAAAGUGCUCCAUGUGGGGGAUUGCUUAGGACCUUUGCCCAAAGUGUAACAACCUGGCUUCACACAAGGUCUCAGUCUCACACAAUAGGGUCAGGACCCGUUCCAGCUCACCACAUCAUUUCCCUCCGUUCACUAAAUCUAAUAAUUUAGAACCAACUUAAUCCAUCUUUUCCACAUUUUUUUUUCUGGUGAUGAUCUCUUUAUCUUGGCCAGGCUAUCCAUAUAAGCAGGCGCUACACACAGAUGGGUAUGGAAUGCUGAUUGGCACAGAAGCUUCAACCUGACUUAUUUCUGACCUGGGUUAGACCUCAAGCACCUUGGUGCCUCCACACCACUCCCCACUCCCAGGACUCACGAUAAUGGUGACAAACAAGGGACACACCAGAUUUAUUUUGGCCCCCUGGAGCUUAGAACUCCCUAGCUCUAGCAAUCCACCAGCCUUAUAUGCACAUGUUUGUGGUUCAUGGGCAUAAAGUCAGAGUGAUCUCUCUACCAUCUCACCAAGGCUAUGCCAUGCAGCAGAGUAGGGAUAUCCUUUCAGAAUGGCAGGCAUUGGGAAUGUCCAGCCCACUCUGAUGAUCCAGGGCUCUGGAUCCACUUUGCCUUUGUUCCUGGGGCUCUCUGGGAUUCCUAUUCAAACAUUAAGGCUCUGUUCUGGAUGCUAGGAUACAAAGAGAGACACAGCAUAGACCCUACUCUCAAGAAACUCUCAGCCUAAUGGAGGGAAGGACAAGAACGUACCAUAGGAGGGAGGCAGAGUGAUCCUGGGCAAGUUCCUUAAUCCCUCAGUGCCCCUUGUAGAGAAGAGUGCUAACAUGCAUCAGGGGGAAGAAUUGGGAGCCCUGGGAGGAAAUUGCUGAGCCACAGAUUUCAACUUCAUGUAAAGAAAAGCUUCCUAACAGUUGGAACUCUCCUCGGGACACUGUGGCUGGCCUCUCAUUAGUGGUCUUCCAACAAAGGACGGAUGACCUCUCAUGAGGCACCACAUUUUAGAAAAGUCAUUGAUAAGCUGCAGAGCAUCCACCAGAAGGGAACCAGAGUGGUAUGUGGCCUCAGUUGACUGAUCAA